UCCGAUUGGGCAAAUUGGCAAAAGGAUGUCUGUAUGAUAGGAAUUUAAACUACAAAGCUGAGCAUCACAAACACCAACAACUCCAAAUUUCUAAUUCGGAACAAUCACAGGAACGAGACCUUCUGUCUGAAGCGGCAAUCGCAGAAUACGAGCAGAUCAAAAAUUGGAUACGUCACAACGAAGACGAAUGGGAAAGCGUUAAGGAGAAGUGGUCUGCUACAAGUGCUCAUCGGCUCCAGGAAAAUCUAUUUUGGCCAUACUGGAAGACGAUUCAUUAGACGGAGAUACAUGCGACUGGCUUACUGCGAGUUUGUUGGCUUAUUUGCUACCAUGCCCAAUGUUGACCACUCGAGAGCGUAAAAA
Armigeres subalbatus is the source of this 363-nucleotide long non-coding RNA. RefSeq lists it as uncharacterized. Lineage: Eukaryota; Metazoa; Arthropoda; Insecta; Diptera; Culicidae. The record is from RefSeq and is a predicted model, not a curated record. The transcript is spliced from 3 exons.